AUGGUCAAGACCCAAAACUUCUAUUGUAUAGCAUCCCUGGAACAGAGAACAGGAGGCAGUCAAGGCCCCAGCUUCAACCUUUUGACAAUCCCUGGCGCCGCCGCUCUUGAGGUCGCCUCUCGCGUGCUGGCCUCAUCGUCGGAACGGCGCUUCCUGAGGCUUUAUAUAAGGACGGCUCUGAAUCCGCUCGUCGGGAUUAAAUCCUGCGCUGGCGCGCUCCUGCCCGCCUCUGGCCUCCAUUUGCUCUACCUGAGGCUCCCUCCAGAAGAACUUUCCCUUAGCCUCAGUGCAGUGCCUUUCGGGCUCCUCAGACCAGACACAGGCCAAAGCCACCGCAGAAUCCGGAAGCCCUGGCAGUCAUGUCUGGCAGGGAAAGGGGGAAAAGGCUUAGGCAAAGGGCGCUAAGCGCCACCGCAAGGUCCUGAGAGACAACAUUCAGGGCAUCACCAAGCCUGCCAUUCGGCGUCUAGCUCGGCGUGGCGGCGUUAAGCGGAUCUCUGCCUCAUUUACGAGGAGACCCGCGGUGUGCUGGAAGGUGUUCCUGGAGAACGUGAUUCGGGACGCAGUCACCUACACCGAGCACGCCAAGCGCAAGACCGUCACAGCCAUGGAUGUGGUGUACGCGCUCAAGCGCCAGGGGCGCACACUGUACGGCUUCGGAGGCUAGGCCGCCGCUCCAGCUUUGCACGUUUCGAUCCCAAGGCCCUUUUUAGGGCCGACCACUCGCUCAUCUGAGGAGCUGGACACUUGACUGCAUAAAUGCAACAGUAACGAUGUUGGAAGGUAACUUUGGCAGUGGGGCGACGGUCGGAUCUGAAGUUAACGGAAGCUACUGUGGCCAUGGCGCUCACAGCCGUAAAGCUUAAGUCGUUGACCGAAAGCGGCUUUUUCACUUACUUGGGCUUUUUUUUUUUUUUUUUUUUUUUUGCCUUUAUCGAUAUGAAAGGUUGAAUGUGCUCUAGGUUUGAGCACUACUUUCUCGGCUUGCUCUUCUGGAGCAGCAUAUAGGCACACCUAGAGGGGCACGUCUUUGCGAUCACCAGAUCUGGUUCUGAGAAACAGGCACUGGCAAUUUACACGUGCCUUGCUAUGUAAUCUCCCUAUAUUUGCUCAGGCAAAGUGGGAGAAGCAGCCUUAGAUCUUCAUUCUAUAGAUGCCGGCUUUCCCACCUGAUCGGCUUAGAUUUCGCGAUUGACUGUUCUGGGCUUCAUUUUACCCUCUACAUAACAAGCGGGUGGACUAGAUCCCUUAGUAAGGGUCCAUGUUAUGUGGUAUCUUCAGCCACGCACUCAGCUCAAUCUUAGUACAGUUAAAAAAAAUGAAUUUCUAGCAAGCUAUCCUGCCCAGUGCCUGAAAAGUAUCAUUUCUUGUGUUCACUAAAAAGGCUCCUAAUUUAAUCAAGGACCUAUGAGAUAACUGUCUUUCAGCUGUGGCAUUGCAAGGAUACAAAUGCAGAGACAUUUUAAUGUGAUCCUUCUAUAAGAGUGAACCAACGAUAUGAUCUGAAAGCAGCUCCACAACUAAUUCAGGCUUAUGAUUUUACUGUGUAUGUAUUUGGAAGAAGAAAUUCUGUCAGCUCCCAAAGGAUAAACCAGCAGUUGCUUUAUUGGUUUUCAGAUGUGGCUGCUCUCACCAGCAUCAAACACUUGAGACUGAACUAAGCUUAAAACACGGUACUUAGCAAUCAGGUUGCCGGCAAAGCACUGGUGCGAGACUUGCCUUCCAGGAGCUUACCAAUGGGGCUGCCAGCAAAGUGGUGGAUGCAAGACUUGCCCUCCAGGAGCUUACCAUCAGAACGGAGAAGACAAUAAAUGCAUAAUAUAUAGACGACAUAAAUCCAUACCUGUACACAUUUAAGAAUAAACAGUCCAACAGUAAGAGGCAGUACAUAUUCAAUAUGCUGAGAAAUGCAGACAAUAACUACUAUAGGAAUCCUAAUGCUACAGGAGUCACUGGCUGCUGGGAAACCAAGGAAAACUUGGCUAUGGACGUUGGGGCUUGUGUCGGACUCUGAAUAAAGGGCAGAAUGAUUGGCA
RNA transcript from Cercocebus atys (sooty mangabey), 2036 nucleotides. RefSeq lists it as uncharacterized. NCBI's taxonomy places the organism in Eukaryota, Metazoa, Chordata, Mammalia, Primates, Cercopithecidae. The record is from RefSeq and is a predicted model, not a curated record. The transcript is spliced from 4 exons.